This 244-nucleotide unclassified non-coding RNA is filed under the name root metagenome. RNAcentral describes it as "partial contains small subunit ribosomal RNA, internal transcribed spacer 1, and 5.8S ribosomal RNA". The record is from RNAcentral.
UUUCCGUAGGUGAACCUGCGGAAGGAUCAUUAUCGAACACAACUUCGAGGAAAGGUUGUGCUGGCCGUCUCUCACCAGAUGGCAUUCGUGCACACCUUUCUGACCCUUCUUUUUCAAAAACCUGUGAACCUCUUGUAGGCCAAGAGAUUGGUCUACGUUUUAACCAUUACAAACUCUUAUUGCAUGUACACGAACGUUUGUUGAUAAUAUAACACAACUUUCAACGAUGGAUCUCUUGGCUCUC